Bacillus sp. FJAT-26390 is the source of this 74-nucleotide non-coding RNA. Lineage: Bacteria; Bacillati; Bacillota; Bacilli; Caryophanales; Bacillaceae. The record is from Rfam.
UAAACCUGCUUGUGAAAGCAGGCUGAACGUACAGAAGUCAGCAGACGCCAAAGUACAGAAGCUGUUGCAAGGUU